ACCAGGGGAAGACUGAUGACAAGGAAUCUUCCUCCAGAGCUGACGCAGAGAGAAAGCCGUUCCCUGGAGCUGACACCCUGAAUUUGGACUUGUAACCUACUAGACUGUGAGGGAAUAAAUUUCUCUUUGUUAACGCCAUCCACUUGUGGUAUUCCUGUUACAGCAGCACUAGAUGACUAAGACAAAUAAAUAAAUAAAAGCAUUCUAAUAGUAGCACAAGAUCCCCUCAUAGAUAACUGUUGAUGUUGUUUAUAUUCUUGCAGAGUUUUACAAUACAUACAUACAUAUAUCUAUUUUUAAUUAUUUUUUUGUUGUGCAAUGGGUGAAACUUUACAGAGCAAAUUAUUUCCCCAUUUGAUAGUUUGUACACAAAAUGUUCCGUGGCAUUGGUUUCAUUCCCCACAAUGUGUCAGCACUCUCCCCAUUUCCGCCCUAGUUUCUCCAUUUCCUUUUGUCCUGAUUUUCUACCCCUUCCUGCCUUUUCAGCUUUCCUUUCGGGAAAAUGUUGCCCUUUUGAUCUCGUAUAAUUGGUCGUUCUGAGAAAGCACAUUCUUAUUGUUUAUUUUUUGGACCUAUCUAUGGCUUGGUUGAAAGGUGGUUUCUGGGAAUGGCUUUAGUUCCAGGUCUGAAGGAUGUUUUAGAACCAUAGUCUUAGAGGUUCCUCCAGUCUCUGCCAGAACAGUAAGUCUGGUCUUUUUUGUGAAAUUGAUUUUUUGUUCUGCAGUUUUCCUCUCUGUCUGGGACCCUCUAUUGUGAACCCAGUUAGAGUGGUUGGUAGUGAUAGCUGGGUACCAUCUGUCUCAGGGAAUAUUUUUAAUAUGUAUGAAUGUGUUCAUAGCAGACGCCGUUGGCUGCCUACGUGACAUCCAUUCUUGCUCUUUUCUAAACAACCCCAUUUUGUUCAGGAGAUUCAAGCUAUUUGCCAUGCCAAGAGUUGGCUUAAGAAUGGGCACAGGAUGCAAUUCUGGCCAAUAAUACUCAAGAGGAAGUUUGCUAGGGCCGUCUGGAAAAAAAAUUAAAAAAUGAAAAAAUAAAAAAAAACAAUUUUUAUUUUUUCUGGAAAGGUUCCUCACUCAUAAAGACUCACACAUCACCAGGCAGAGGCUGCCUCUCUUCUUCCACAGGAUGUUGACACAUCUGAAUUGGAUGCCCAGAGCCAUGGCAGCCAUCUUGUGUCCAUGAGGGAAUGAGCCAAAGGACCAAGCUGGCAUGCUGAAAGUGGACAAGACAGCAAAUUUCCUCAUUGUUUAUAUGAAGUCAGCCAGGGUUUUCUGUUAUUUGCAGCUGAAGGCAUCCUAAAUGAUAGGCCAUACAUAUUUAUUAUUAUGUAGAAAAGGAAUUUGAUUAUCCAGGGUGAUCAACAUGUCCCUGUUUGCAUGGGACUUCCCAGGUUUUAAAACUGCAAGUCUCACAUUUCAGGAACCCCUUCAGUUUCUGGAAAACCUGCACCACUGGUCAUCCUACAUUGUAAAUAUUUCUGUAAUUUGUCUUUGUCAUUUAAUGUAUUUUAUGUAUCUUUCCACAUCGAUACAUAAACACAUGUAUUUUUAAUUUUUGGUUGCAUAGAAUUCUGUCGUGUGAGUCAGUUCACUCAUUUGCUUUUUAAUGAACAUAUUUUUUCUCUCAAUAAUAUUGUUCUCUGUUGUUUGUAAAAGGGAGGCUAUAUAAGCACUCAGUUCUCAACUCUUUUUUUUUUUCUUUGUCUUUAAAUGCACACAAGAAAGUGACCUUCGAGUAGGCAAGAGAACCCACAAAACAAACAAAAACACCCCAAGGCACCGUAUCAUGUUUUAACUAGCUACUUACUCCUCCGCCUUCCUUAACGGAACUGUGACCUGCCUUCCAUUUUAAUCCCACCUAUUGCUUCCUCUUUGGUUUGCUCUAGCCUCGAUGACUCCCAGUUUGAAAGUAAAAUUGGCUGGUAUCACCACAAAGAUUCUCUGAUCCAGCAUUCACUCCAAAGGAAUUAUCCUGGUCUUUCAAACCAGGGCUUCGAACUGGUUUGAACUGGUUAAGUCAUAGCUAACUGAAGCGAAACCGGCACAGAUCGGAAACCUGUUACUUACUAAGCAUUGUAAUAAGUUUCUGUUCUCAUUUUGGACACAGUUCCAACAAAAUAACUUAUCUCAUUUCCUAACUUGCACCAACUCAGACAAAAAAUAGCAAAUUAAGAAGAAGUCCUAGCUUCUCAGAAGGCAUUGGCGAAAAACAAGUUUCCAGGAAUUGAUGCAAUAUCAAUUGAGAUAUUGCAACAAACAGAUGCAGCGCUGGAGGUGCUUGCUCAUCUAUGCCAAGAAAUAUGGAAGACAGCUUCCUGGCCAACUGACUGGAAGAGAUCCAUAUUUAUGCCUAUUCCCAAGAAAGAUGAUCCAGCCGAAGGUGGAAAUUAUAGAACAAUAUCAUUAAUAUCACACGCAAGCAAAAUUCUGCUGAAGAUCAUUGAAAAACAGCUGCAGCAGUAUGUCGAGAGGGAACUGCCAGAAAUUCAGGCUUGUUUCAGAAGAGGACAUGGAACCAGGGAUAUCAUUGCUGAUGUCAGAUGGAUACUGGCUGAAAGCAGAGAAUACCAGAAGGAUGUUUACCUGUGUUUUAUUGACUAUGCAAAGGGUUUGACUGUGUGGAUCAUAACAAACUAUGGAUAACACUGCGAAGGAUGGGAAAUCCAGAACACUUAAUUGUGCUCAUGAGGAACCUUUACAUGGAUCAAGAGGCAGUUGUUCGGACAGAACAAGGGGAUACUGAUUGGUUUAAAGUCAGGAAAGGUGUGGGUCAGGGUUCUAUUCUUUCACCAUACCUUUUUAGUCUGUAUGCUGAGCAAAUGAUGCUAGAAGCUGGACUAUAUGAAGAAAAACGGGGCACCAGGAUUAGAGGAAGACUCAUUAACAACCUGCAUUAUGCAGAUGACACAACCUUGUUUGCUGAAAGUGAAGAGGACUUGAAACACUUACUGAUGAAGAUCAAAGACCACAGCCUUCAGUAUGGAUUGCACCUCAACAUAAAGAAAACAAAAAUCCUCACAACUGGACCAAUGAGCAACAUCAUGAUAAACGGAGAAAAGAUUGAAGUUGUCAAGGAUUUCAUUUUACUUGGAUCCACAAUCAACAGCCAUGGAAGCAGCAGUCAAGAAAUCAAAAGAUGCAUUGCAUUGGGCAAAUCUGCUGCAAAGGACCUCUUUAAAGUGUUGAAGAGCAAAGAUAUCACCCUGAAGACUAAGGUGUGCCUGACCCAAGCCAUGGUAUUUUCAACUGCAUCAUAUGCAUGUGAAAGCUGGACAAUGAGUAAGGAAGACCGAAGAAGAAUUGAUGCCUUUGAAUUGUGGUGUUGGCGAAGAAUAUUGAAUAUACUAUGGACUGCCAAAAGAACGAACAAAUCUGUCUUGGAAGAAGUACAACCAGAAUGCUCCCUAGAGGCAAGAAUGGCGAGACUGGGUCUUACAUACUUUGGACGUGCUGUCAGGAGGGAUCAGUCCCUAGAGAAGGACAUCAUGCUUGGCAGAGUACAGGGUCAGCAGAAAAGAGGAAACCCUCAAUGAGGUGGAUUGACACAGUGGCUGCAACAAUGAGCUCAAGCAUAACAACAAUUGUAAGGAUGGGUCAGGACCUGGAAGUGUUUCGUUCUGUUGUGCACAGGGUCACUAUGAGUUCGAACCAACUCGGCGGCACGUAAGAACAGUGUUACCAUUGAUGAUAUCAGACUUCCCUGAGGAGGAGAUGGAUUCCAAGUGGGGUGUUAUGUUGACCAGGCCUUACAUUUUUUUGCUUACCAGUUGCUGAUGGCAUUUUUAGCCAAAUAAGUUUCUGUAUUCCACUGUUGGUAUUUUGGUUUCUAGCCCCUCUGAAGAAUCUCUAACAAACCAUUAAAAAAUUUUUUUUCCAAUUAUCCAGUUAUUAUUUAUAGUAAUUGAAAGGGAUUUUGAAAAAGAUUCAUCUUCAUCUAUUUUUCUUUGUUAGUGUUUGUUUUUUUUUUACCACAUUCAUUGUUUCAUGUCGAUGUCCACAGAGCCCCCAAAAUACCAAAUCCUUAUCUAUUUUCCAGCAUGACCUACAUAUAAAACGUAAUAACAACAGUAAUAGCUCUUAUGGAUCGAAUUGUGUCUAUAUAUAUAUAUAUAUAUAUAUAUAUAUAUAUACCUGUAAAUAUGAUCUUAUUUGAUAACAGGGUUUUCUUUGUUAUAUAAUUAAGUCAUACCUGAGUGGAGGGUGGGUUCUAAAUCUAGUCACUUCUAAGUUAUAAAAAGAGCAGAAAGAACAUAAAGACACACAUGACUGAAGGCAGACAAUAAGUGAGGGCUGUCUACAAGCCAAGGAAUGUCAAGGAACCAAGAAAGGCCCAGGACUACCAGCAAGGAAGGAAUUGACACGGCUGCGAUCCUGAUUUGGACUUUUAGUCUUCGGAGCUGUGAGGAAGUCAAUUUCUGUUCUUUCAAGCCAUACACUUGUGACAUUUGUGUUACAGCAGCACUAGGUGACUAUGACAUAGCUUUCACUUAGGACCUUACAGCGUGCAGAGCACCAAGCUUUAUAUGGUUUAAUUUUACCACAAUCCCUUGUGUUAGACAGCGUUAUGAUCAUUUUAUAGGCGAGAAAACUCAGUUUUGGAGAGAUUCAUUAACUUGUUCAAAUCACACGCCUAGUAGAUGGUGGAGCCAGGGCUCAAAUCUAUCUAGCCCGUCUGAUUCCAGACCCAAAUUCUGAACCAUUCCUGCUAAUGUGCAGAGUUUGUGAAUACCAGUGAUCUACGGCCUGCAGGCGAAAUGCGGCCCCACACCUGCUUUUUUAUGGUGAGUGAGCACUGCUGGAGCAAGCUCAAAUGAGUCCCCCUUUGCCCCAUUUCCCUUCUGCUUCCAGAGUUUGCCUUCCUACCUGUGGCCACACCUCACAGCUUCCCAGGGCCCCACACUGGGUGCCACCUACAUGUUGGGGACUCCGUUGUUGGUGAUUACUGAACACCCAGCAGGGGAAUCUCAUCUGAGAGUCAGUGAUUCCACAAGUGGCCUAACCUCCAAUGAGCAGCCUCAACUGAUGAGGCCAGGCUCUGGAGGGCAGGGACCUGGGUGUCACUGGGACAGAGUAAAACUGAGCGGGCAGUCACUCAUGCCCUUCCCUGUCCCAGACCCCUCCCCAUCAGGCCCGUCAAUCAUCCUCCUGAGAAUGUCUCCAGCAAACUGGCAACUAGGCACAAAACUGCUAAUCACUUGGGAUGGUCCAACCUAGGCAAAAUGGGGUUUGAUGGUUAAUGUAAUGUGUCAGCCUGUCUAGAACGUGAUCCGCAGUGGUUUGUCAGAUACUAUACAUCAUCUCCAUUUUGUGAUCUGAUGUGAGUGGCCAAUCAGUUGGAAGGGGAGUUUCCUUGGGGAUGUGGUCUUCAUCCAAUAUAUAAAUAGAUGUUCUGGCAAAGCUCAGUCUCUCUCCUCCUCUUGAUCCUGUACUCGUCCCAUCUGACUUCCAAUUCUUGGGAGUGAGAAGCCUUCAGCCUACCACCUGACCUGCAGAUUUUGAAUUUGCCAGCUCCUGCAACCCCAUAGCCUGCUGCCUGACCCACAGAUAUGGGACUUGCCAGCUCCAUAAUUGCAUGAGCCAUUUCCUUGAAGUACCUCUCUCUCUAUAUAUAUUUAUAUAUAUACUUCACUGGUUUUGAUCCUCUAGAAAACCCAGCUUAAAACAUGGAGGGAGGAGGGCAAAAGCAAGAAUGUUCUCUCUUGUUGUAUAAGUGCCUACAUAAUAUCCUUAAUUUUUGCCUCUUGGCCCAAAAAGCCUAAAAUGUUUACUAUCUUUCAUGGCCCGCUCCCUCCCAAUUGAUGCCCUAAUCUAACAAAACAGGUACUACAAGGUUGGAAACUCCAUUUGUAUUGUAAUUUAGACCCUCACAGGAUUAGACUUUGGAUUUGGCUUCCCUGAGCCUGUAGGAGAUAGGGCUUCUUUCAGGGAAGUCAGUCUUUCAGGACCUUGAGGUGAGAAUUUGAAGUCUUGAGUUCAUCAUUUUUCUUCCCAAGUUCUCCGGCCCACUUAGAAGCAAACAACCACCCCCAUGAUACUCCUUAUUUUCAUUAAAAUGUUCUAUGGCCUGAAAUACUUGGUCACUCAGAGUCUUGCCUCCUAUAGGCUCUUUUUUUUUUUUUAAAGGUAAUAAUGGCCAUGCAGGCUAUGAAGUUUCAGUGUUCACUUUACCUCUGAAACAGUCUCAUUAAUGCCUGUAAUGUCUUAGAAGUCUUAGAAGAAAUAAAAAAAAAAAAAACCCAGUGCCGUCGAGUCGAUUCCGACUCAUAGCGACCCUGUAGGACAGAGUAGAACUGCCCCACAUAGCUUCCAAGGAGCACCUAGCAGAUUCAAACUGCCGACCCUUUGGUUAGCAGCUGUAGCACUUAACCACUACACCACCAGGGUUUCCCUUAGAAGAAAUACAAACAGAAUAUUUCUCAGAAGCGAGGAUAGCGAGACUUCUACUGGAUUACUUUGGACAAAAAAUCAGGAAAGACCGAUCACUGCAAGAAGACAUCAUGUUUGGUAAAGUAGACGGCUGAUGAAAGCAAGCGAAACCCCUGAAUUAGAUGGAUUAACAUAAUAGCUGCAGCAAUGAACUCAAACCUACCAACGAUCAUGAAGAUGGUGCAGGACCGGGAACUGCUUUGUUCUGUUAUACAUAAGGUCGCUAUGAAUCAGAGCUGAUUCCGCAACCACAAAACCACCACCAACAACAAUGUUGUUAAAUCUAAUCAUAUUGGAGAGCCAAUUUCGGAUAAGCCAGAACCAAUUUAGAGAAAUCAUACUUAACAUUCUGCUGCUCUGGAACCACUCUCAGUACCAGACUCUGUACCAGUCAUAGAAGCAGAAACUCUAGGAGAUGCAGACAGGUUAUAUAUGCAGGCCGUGCUGCUGCCCCAUGCCAACAAGAGAUGCGACAGUGUGUGUGAGCUGCAGCAGUGCCUGAUGCCCCUGCACCAACCUUCCAAGCAUGAAAACAGAAAGACUGCUGCUUUGCUGCUGGCUUCCAAAUCUUGGCAAAAUGUCUGUUGAGGUCACCCUAACCGGAAACAGGCAGGGAAGGGAAUUCAGGGGAACAUAGUUCAGCAUGGUCAUAUAAAAAAAAAAAAAACAGACACGUUAAAAACUUGAUUUCUCUAGAUUGUGCCUGGCUACAACCGAUGACUGCCCUGACAGGGAACACAACAGAGAACCCCUGAGGGAGCAGGAGGACAGUGGGAUGCAGACCCCAAAUUCUCAUAAAAAGACCAGACUUAAUGGUCUGACUGAGACUAGAGGGACCCCGGAGGUCAUGGUCCCCAGACCUUCUGUUAGCCCAAGACUGGAACCAUUUCUGAAGCCAACUCUUCAGACAGGAAUUGGGCUGGGCUAUAAGAUAGAAAAUUAUAUCGGUUAAGGAGUAAGCUUCUCGGUUCAGGUAGACACAUGAGACUAUGUGGGCAGCUUCUGUCUGGAGGCUAGAUAAAAACGCAGAGGGGGACAGGAGCUGGCUGAAUGGACACAGGAAAUACAGGGCGAGAGCAGCAAGGAGUACAUGCAAGGUUUGUAUAACUUUUUGUAAGAGAGACUGACUUGAUUUGUAAACUUUCACUUAAAGCACAAUAAAUAACAAUAAAAAAAACUUGAUUUCUCUGCAAUGUGUGGCUAAUUGCCUCCAUGAACAACUGUCUCUUUUGCCAUGAGACCAGAAGAACUGGUUGGUGCCCAGCUACCAUCACUGAACAUUUUGAUCAAAAAUUCCGUAGAAGAAUCCUGAUGAAAAUGGGGAAAUUGCAGAACACUCUUCCAAGUUCUCAUGGACUUCAGAUUUCCUGGAGCCAUGGAAACUGGAUGAAGCCCUAAAACUUUUGAGCUGAGAUAAUCUUUAAACCUUAAACCAAAAAUAUCCCCUUUCUUUAAACCUUGAACCAAAAAUAUCCACUUAAGUCUCACUUGAAUAAAAUUGUAAGAUCAGCACAGAAGCCUGUUAUGUCCCCCAUGCUCUGCCCACUUCUCCUUAGGCCUCAUCCCUGCCUCUCUCCUGUUUUCUCUCAGCCCUAGCUAUACUCUCCUUCUUGUUCCUUCAACACACCGAGCAGGCACCCACCUCAGGGCCUUUGUACUUACUGUUUCCUAUACCUAGAAUGCCGCUUGGUACCUGCAUGGCUUGUUUGCACAUCAAUAAUGUCCUGCCCGGUCGCUCUCUAUCUCCUUUACUCUGCUUUAUUUUCUUUCAUAGUUCUUGUCAUCAUUGAACAUAUUGCAUUUUUUGUUCGUUUACUGCCUGUCUCCCCCUCUUCUGGAGGAGCCCUGGUGAUGCAGUGGUUAAGUACUCGGCUGUUAAAUGAAAAUUUGGUGGUUAGAACCACCAGAAGCUUCACAGGAGAAAGACCUGGCAAUCUGCUCCCAUGAAGAUUAUAGCCUAGGGGAAGCUCUCCUCUGUCAUGUAGCGUCAUUAUGAGUCAAAAAUUGACCUGAAGGCACCCAACAACAACAACAAACUGCAAGGGGCAGGAGUGGCUCAGAUGGCAGACUUAGGAGACAGUGGGUAUGGGAGGCUGUUGUCGUCAGGUAUGGAUUUUUUUAAAAUACUAUAAUUGACCCUUCAUUAGGAGAGUUCUCCCAAUUGACUUCAGUUCACAGAUGGGAGGCUCCAGACACCCAGCACAGACUGUCAUUUUGGCAAGGCUGACUCCAAAUAUUUACCUCCCGUCUACAUGUCUUCCCUUGGAACACCUGGAGUUUUUCUGUCUUAGGGUGUGACAAAGUAAUUGAGUCAGUUGUUGUUAGGGGACAUCGAGUCAGUUCCAACUCACAGUGACCCUCUGUACAACAGAACGAAACUCUGCCCAGUCCUGCGCCAUCUUCACAAUCAUUGUUAUGCUUAAGUCCAUUGUUGCAGCCACUGUGUCAAUUCGUCUCAUUGAGGGUCUUCCUCUUUUUCACUGACCUUGUGCUUUACCAAGCGUGAUGUCCUUCUCCAGGGACUGGUCCCUCCUGACAACAUGUUCAAAGUAUAUGAGACGUAGUCUUCCCAUCCUUGCUUCUAAGGAGCAAUCUGGUCAUACUUCUUCCAAGACAGAUUUGUUCUUUCUUUUGGCAGUCCAUGGUGUAUUCAAUAUUCUUUUCCAGCACCACAAUUCGAAGGAGUCAAUUCUUCUCCGGUCUUCCUUGUUCAUCGUCCAGCUUUUGCAUACAUAUGAGACAAUUGAAAACACCUUGGCUUAGGUCAGGCGCAACUUUGUCUUCAAGGUGACAUCUUUGCUUUUCAACACUUUAAAGAGGCCAUUUGCAGCAGAUUUACCCAAUGCAAUGCAUCUUUUGAUUUUCUGUCUGCUGCUUCAGUGGGUGUUGAUUGUGGAUCCUUGACAACUUCAUUCUUUUCUCCAUUUAUCAUGAUGUUGCUCAUUGGUCCAGUUGUGAGGAUUUUUGUUUUCUUUAUUUUGAGGUGCAAUCCAUACCGAAGGCUGUGGUCUUUGAUCUUCAUCAGUAAGUGCUUCAAGUCCUCUUCACUUUCAGCAAGCAAGGUUGUGUCAUCUGCAUAAUGCAGAUUGUUAACGAGUCUUCCUCCAAUCCUGAUGCCCCAGUGUUCUUCAUACAGUCCAGCUUCUCGGAUUAUUUGCUCAGCACACAGAUCGAAUAGGUAUGGUGAAAGGAUACAACACAGAUGUACAUCUCUCCUGUCUUUAAACUACGCAGUAUCCCUUUGUUCUGUUCAAACGACUACCUCUUGCUCUAUGUACAGGUUCUUCGUGAGGCAGCUCUUCCGCAGCUGUGUUUUGAGUGCCUUCCAACUUGAGGGGCUCAUCUUCCAGCAUGAUAUCAGACAAUGUUCCACUGCUAUUCAUGAGGGUUUCACUGGCUAAUUCUUUUCAGAAGUAGACCACCAGGUCCUUCAUCCUAGUCUGUCUUAGUCUGGAAGUUCAGCUGAAACCUGCCUGCCAUGGGUAAUCCUGCUGGUAUUUGAAUGGCUGUGGCAUAGCUUCCAGCAUCACAGCAACACUCAAGCCCCCACAGUAUGACAAACUGACAGAUGCAUCAGGGAGUUGAGUCUAAAUUCUACCAAAUACUGUUUUCUGGGGACAUCACUUUGCCUGGGAACAUUUUUAAUAUGUGAAAAUGCUGUCGUAAUCUCCUGGGUCCCAUCAGGCCUGAGGCCCUGAUGGACCCACAGCCAUUCUGGGCAAAGCUGUCUGAGCCUGGAGUUACUGAAGAAACUCCAGCUUUAUCCAGUCAUCAAGGACCUCUCUGAGUGACUCUGAGAAUAACGUAAAAUUGAGGGGGAAUUUAUUUGAACUUUAGUUUUACUUAAGAAUUUUGAACUUUAAUUCACAAGGGCAGGAUAAUUUGAUAUUGCACUCUUAAUUUCUUUAGAUUUUAACUUAAAAAUGUCUGAACUUAGGUUCUUUGGACUGAAUUAAGCAAAUUAAUUUUUAGGACUUUAAUUUUUCCCCGGGAAUUUGAUAAUGGCAGGAGUGUUUGUAUCCAAAAUUGGGUUCACUCUAUUUGUUUGUAUUUUAUUAUCAAAACAUGUUCUUGCUGUCAUUUCAUUUUAUUGCAGAUCCAGUGAUGGGCAUCGUGAGGCAGUGUGGCUGGACAAAAUUUCAGAUGGGAAACAGAAUAAGGAGUGUACAACUUGACCUUGGAGCGUGCGACAGGUUGUAUUUUAUAAAAAGGGCCCUGCAACGCUACUUCCUAUCCCAUGUGCUCUUCCAGAACCCUCCACUCUCCCACUAAGACUUGGACUCUACAUCCCCUCCCCUUCAGCCUGGCUGAGUCUUUGUGACUAGUACAGUGGAAGUGGUGCUGUGUGACUUCCCAGGCUAGGUCAUAAAAGACACACCGCUCCUGCCUGUUUCUGUCUUUGUUUUGAUAUGAACUUUUGGAGCCCUGAGCCACCAUGUAAAAAGCCUGGCUGCACUGAAGCCACCAUGCUGGAAGACCACAAGGGACAAGUCACAAGAGGUAGAGAGAGAUGCCUGAGAAGCCUCAGCUGGGCUUUCAAGAUGGCAGCUGCACCUACAUUCAACGAAAGAAGAAGAAAGUCUUGCUGCUCCCUUUUUAAGGAAAGCAAAAGUUUUUCUAGAAACACCGCAGGAUUAUGGCUUACAUCUCAUUGGCCAGAACCAUGUCUCUUGAUCACCCCUAGCUGCAAGGGAGGCUGGGAAAGCAAAUAUUUAGCUGGCCACAUUGCUGCUCGGAAUAAACUUAAGGUUCUAUUAGGAAGGAAGAAAUGGGAUAGAUUUGAGGUAGACAAUAAAAAAAUGUGUCUGCUACAGUCAUAAUUUUUGCUCUUAGAUGCCCUCUUAGGACUUAGAAUAAAACCUAUAUUAAAAAAAAAAAAGGCACUAAAAAUAUUUAUUAACUGAGAAGGUAGGAACAGAAACAAAACUUGAGUUAAUCUAUUGUGCCCUGAAAGAUUCUCUCAUCAGAAGGCAAUGCUGAGUUUUUUCUAAUUUCCAUAUGAUUCCUCUCUGUCCACUUGGAUAAUAGCACCAGCUGUCACUAACUGAGUGCUUACUAUGUGCUGGGCACUAAUAUAGUUACCUUGUUUGUACUAACUUUAAUCCUUAACACAGCUGUGUGAAAUAGGUUUUAUUGUUAUCCUAUAUUAUAAAUAAGGAAACUGAGGUACAGGAAGCUUAAGUAACUUAAUUUUAAUAUAGCUAGAAAUUGGCAACACUGGGUAAGAAAUAGGGUUGCCAGAGUUAGCAAAUAAAAAUGCAGUUUGCCCAGUUAAAUUUAAGGUUCAAAUACACAAGAAAGAAUUUUUUAAAAUAGGUAUGUUGCCUUUAUUAAAUGAGGACAUACCUACGCUAAAAAAACUAUUCCUUGUUUGUCCAAAAUACACAUUUAACUGAGUAUCCUAUAUUUUAUCUGGUAACCCUGGUUAAUGACUCAGGCAAUAUGACUUCAGAGCCUGUUCUCUUAACCACAACCCCAUACUGCCUUUCCUGAUGUAUGAGUUUAAUCUUCAUUUUAUUAUAACCCAUGAUUAUCCUCUGUGUUUACUUGUUUACCUAUUGUAGUACCCAUGUUCCUCUCUAGAAUAUAAGCUGUAAGAGGGCAGGGACCUAUCCGUCUAGUUUACUAGUGAAUCUCCUCUGUGCCCAGAAUAGUACUUAGCACAAAAUUGAUGCCCAAUAACAAGUUGUUAAAGAAACAAUGCUCUGUAGCAUUGACUGGCUUGGACGUGGAAAGCCAGAUGUCAGAUAUUCCAGUACCUUCCUGUGGUGGCCCUCCAACAUGCACACAACCUUGUUAAAGACAAGAGUAGCCGUGAACUUGCUUUGGUCAGUGAACCGUGAAUGGAAGUAAUUUGUGAUGUUAAAAGGUGGCAUAUGAUUCUCCAUGUUCUUUUUUUCCUCUGCCACAUGGCUGGAAAUGUUGUUCAGAUAGAAACUCUCCACCAUCUUGGGUCCUGGAGUGAAGACAAUGUGGAGCAGAAGUGAGCCAACCGUUGAUAGACAUGUGGUUGUGUAGGAGCUUGGCUGGCGAAAGUCAUUUGAGAGGAGCGGCUAAUCUAAAGUUUUGCAGUUCAAACCCACCCAGCACUUCCGGGGAAGAAAGCACCGGUGAACUGCUUCUGUGAAGGUCACGGCCAAGGAAACCUUAGAGCUAUUGUACUCUGUAACACACGGGGUCUCCACGAGUCAGAAUCAACUCAAUGGUAAUGAGUUCGUUUGUUUCAAUAGUUUACUCCUUACUGAACCUCCAGAGUGUAGUACAAUGCCUAGCCUUCAGUGAGCCAUCAGUACACAUUUCUGACGAAUGAAGUGACCUCUAAGUUGGAUCCUGAAGAUGAAUAAGAGUUGGCUAGGGAAAGGGUUGGGGAGAGAAGAGAAAAUCUGUAUAGUGGGAACAGCACGUGCAAAGGCCAGGGAGGAGAGAGAGCAGAAAAUUACAGCAGAUGGUUUAAUAUGACUAGCGGGUCAGUUUGGGUCCUCUCAGAAGCAGAAGCCAAGAAAGGAUUAGACAGGCAAGGGAUUUACUGGGUGAAAAUUCCCCUGAAGGCUAAAGGGGAAGGAGCAGGAGUAGGCAAGGGGAGCAUUCAGUGCAGAUCUGACUCCUGUGAAGGAGAAGGAGAAGAAAGGAGGACAAGGUAGGAAGAGCAGACUGCAGUGCAGUUCCAAGAACGUUUCAGCCAGGGCAAAAGAGUCCCUGAACCAAAGUUGUCCAUGAAAGGAAGCCCCCAUUGGGCAGGAAUGGCCUCAACUAGCACCCUGCUCAGUCUUUGGCUGGGAGUAGCUUAGGGGACUUAGGUUCUCGGUGUGAACACAACGGUGGGUCCAGAGGGGAAGCUGAGGCUGCUAGUUAACUAUGCCUCUUGCACAGGAGAUUCUAGUGGUGCAUUUCCAUCACUGCCAGAGCAAGCAGAGGACAAAGGAGGAGGUGAGAGGUGAGUCGGAGAGCUAAGCUGGGGCCAGGUCACAAACAGUCCUCCAGGCCAUAGUUUAGAGCUGGAUUUUAUCCUGAGGGCAAUGAGUGCAGUUUCCUAUCAGCAAGACUGGGUUUGCAUAUCAGACGGAUCACUUGGCUGCAGUGUGGAAUAUGGAAAUCAGAGCCUGGGAGAGACCAGAGUAGUAUCAAGCCAUCAGGGCCUUAGUGGUCAAAGUAUAACACCCCCUUCUACCUUCAUCUUUGUUCAGAAGCAGUUUGAGAGAUAGACACAGGAGUCCUACUCAGGGAGGUCAGGCAUUGCCUUUAUGACUUACCGACAGAGCUGUUGGAGAAGGUGCCUUAGUCAUGAGGGCCAAGUGGGCUUCCUGGCAUUCCCUGUCCAAUUAUUUCCUAGACCUGGGGACAGCACCCCAAGACCAGCUUGAGUCUCCUCUGCAGAAUUGCUGCCUCACUCUGCUAUGGGGUGAGGAAGAAAGAAGAGAUUGAAUCCCCAGCAUCUAUUAGGGUCUUUUCAUUGUGUAGCUCCACCCAGUAGAGAAGCACAGACCCCCCUCCCCAAUCACCUGAGGGGAGAAGUAAAUGUGGGGGGAGGGCAUGGGUGUUAAUUUUAGAAGUGUGAGGGUGGGAGUUAAGUGUUCUCACUGUCACAGGUGAGAGAUGACAGUGGCCUGGACAGGGAUGAUGGUGUUGGAGUUGGAGAGAGGAAGACUGUUACGGAUUGAAUUGUGUCCCCCCAAAAAUAUGUGUAUCAAUUUGGCUACACCAUGAUUCCCAGUAUUGUGUGAUUGCCCACCAUUUUGCCAUCUGAUGUGAUUUUUCUAGGUGUUGUAAAUCCUAUCUCUAUGACGUUAAUGAGAUGAAAUUAGUGGCAGUUAUGUUAAUGAGGCUGGACUCAAUCUACAAGAUUAGAUUGUGUUUUAAACCAAUGUCUUUUGGAAUAUAAAAGACAGAAGUGAGCAGAGAGACAUAGGGACCUCCUACCACCAAGAAAGGGGACAGGGAGCACAACGUGUCCUUUGGACCCAGGGUCCCUGCGCGGAGAAGCUCCUAGACCAGGGGAAUAUUGAUGACAAGGAUCUUCCCCCAGAGCUGACAGAGGGAGAAAGCCUUCGCCCCAGAGCAGCCACUCUGAAUUUUGACCUCUAGCCUUUUAGACUGUGAGAGAAUAAAUUUGUUUGUUAAAACCAUCCACUUCUGGUAUUUCUGUUACAAUAGCACUAGAUGACUAACACAAGGACAGAGAGGAGAAUUGCCAGGACUCAGUAAUUGACUGGAUGGUGAGGGGGAAAGGUGACGGUUCUGACAGAAAGCGAAAGGACAGGGCAAAGAUUUUUGACUUGCAUACUAGGCGAAUGGUAGGGUCAUUUCAUUCUACUUCCAGCCCACUUCUAGCCUACUGAGUACCUUUGUGACAAUUAGAAACGGGGUAGGGGGGCAGUCUAGAAAGACACAGCCAUUGCCAAGUCAAGGGCCUAGUGAGUGGAAUGGGUUGGAUUCGUCUCCCGUACUCCCUCUGAGUUGGGUGCCUUUGUGCUUGGGCUAGUCUGCACAGCCAUAUGCAGGACCUUGUGCCACACACUGUUGGGGGAAUGAUGAGCUGAGUUUUAAGCAUGUUGGGUUUAAGGUAUCUGAAGGUAACAUUGAGAUUAAGAGUCUUUUUUUUUUAAUUAUUAUUGUGGUGAAAUCCACAGGACAUAAAAUUAACCACUUUCUACAAUUCAGUGGCAUUUAGUACCUUUACCGUGUUGUAAAACUAUUACCUGUAUCGAGUUCCAAACAUUUUCAUCACCCACAAAGGAAACUCCAUACCCAUUAAGGAAUUUCUCCUCACUCUGUCCUUCCCCCAGCCCUGGCAACCACUGUCUUUAUGGAUUUACCUCUUCUGAAAGGAUCAUAUAAAUGGAGCCAUUUAACAUGUGGCCUUUUGUUCCUGGCCUCUUUCACUUAGCAUAUGUUUGUUUCUUUUGAAGACUGGGGAGAUGGUGGAAAGGAGCCGGUAGAAAAAGGAGAAGUUGAAAAUGCAGAAGAGGAAGAGGGGUAUCAGAAUGAGCGCCAGUGUGUCCCUGAGAAGGGAAGUUGGUGGGGAUGGGUAAGGAGGAGCACAGGAUAAACACCCCUUACACCAGUGAAGGGACACCUCCCAUUGAGGGAUGGAGGAGGGUAUGGAGCAGAUACAUACAUGAUUAUAAUUAUAGGUUUGGUGGCAGGGAGUUGAGGGGAUUUCCAUUAGAUAGUUUGUAUUGUCUCUGUGAAGUAAGGGGUUGACCACAUAUUGAGAGGAAGAGAAGAGGUAGUGGGGUUGGAUGUUUGAAGAGAGUGAAGAUUAUUGAAAAUAACUGCUGUGGAGAAAGGAAAAAAUCUUGCCAGGGAAAUAGGGUGCAAUUUCCAGCCAAUGUUGAGGGCCUGGGUGAGGUUGGAGUCAGUGAAUUCAUAGUGAUCCUAACCUUUAGUGUUAUCUAAUUUUACUGCCAAUCUCAAACAGCCUGGACAUGAGUGGUAUUUACAUGUAAUAUUUGGAGCUAUGGCAGCCAUUCUGUGACUGUGAGGACAUAAGCAUAAGGACUAAGCCAACACACGUAGGAUAGCAAAGCAGAAAUUGUUGGUACCCUCCAGUCUGUUUUGCACAUAAUAACCAGGAUGACUACAUAGACCAGGAGGCAGCCAUUCAAAAGAACAGGGGGAUACUGAGUUGUUUAAAGUCAGAAAAGGUGUGCGUCAGGGUUGUAUCCUUUCUCCAUACUUACUCAAACUGUAUGCUGAGCUAAUAAUCUGAGAAGGUGGACUAUAUGAAGAACUCGGCAUCAGAAUUGGAAGAAGACUCAACAACCUGUGAUAUUCAGAUGAUACAACCUUGCUUGCUGAAAGUGAAGAGAACUUGAAGCACUUACUGGUGAAGAUCAAAGACCACAGCCUUCAGUAUGGAUUACACCUCAACAUAAAAAAAAAAAAAAAAUCCUCACAACUAGACCAAUAAGCAACAUCAUGAUAAAUGGAGAAAACAUUGAAAUUGUCAAGAAUUUCAUUUUACUUGGAUCCACAAUCAAUACCCAUGGAAGCAGCAGUCAAGAAAUCAAACGACACAUUGCAUUGGGCAAAUCUGCUACAAAAUACCUCUUUAAAGUGUUGAAAAGCAAAGAAGUCACUUUAAGGACUAAGGUGCACCUGACCCAAGCCAUGCUGUUUUCAGUCACCUCAUACGUGUGUGAAAACUGGACAGUGAGUAAGGAAGACCAAAGAAGAAUUGGCGGGUUUGAAUUACGGUGCAGGCAAAGAAUACUGAAUAUGCUAUGGACUGCCAGAAGAACGAACAAGUCUGUUCAUUCAGAAGUACAGCCGGAAUGCUCUUAGAAGCGAGCAUGGUGAGAAUUCUUUUCACAUGCUUUGGACAUGUUAUCAAGAGGGACCAGUCCCUGGAGAAGGACAUCAUGGUUGGUAAAGUAGAGGGUUAUCAAAAAAGAGGAAGACCCUCAACAAGAUGCAUUGACACAGUGGCUGCAACAAUGGGCUCAAGCAUUACAAUUGUGAGGAUGGCACAGGACCAACCAGCAUUUCGUUCUUUUGUACAUAGGCUUGCUCUGAGAUGGACUGCAACUAACAACAAAUCUUUACGGAAGCAGACCACCACAUCUUUCUCCCGUAUUCAUUACUGUAUUCCUUGGUAUUUUCUUACCAAUAGGACCCCAGUUUGGGGACCCCAGGUUGCCCAAGAGCUCAGCUACAAGAUUUGAUUUUUCUCAGUUCCCUCACAGCUAAUAGUGGCCAUGCAUCAGAGUUUUGGCCAGCAAAAUGUGAGGGGACAUUUACUAAACGGGCUUCCAGAAGGAUGUUGUUUUCCUGGGAGAAAGAAAAAGACUCAGCUGGUUUGCAUCCUUUGUCUUUUGUUCUGUUCUUCCUCCUCCCUAAGACUCAGAUUUGAUACCUGGAAGUGAAGCAGUGAACAUAUGACCAUGAACACAAAAGCCACAUGCUAAGAAUGGUGACUAAGUUGCACCUGACCCAAGCCAUGAUAUUUUCAAUUGCCUCAUAUGCAUGCAAAAGUUGGGCAGUGAAUAAGGAAGACUGAAGGACUGAUGACUUUGAAUUAAGGUGUUGGUGAAGAAUACUGAAUAUACCAUGGACUGCCGGAAGAACGAACAAUCUGUCUUAGAAGCACAGCCAGAAUGCUCCUUAGAAGCAAGGAUGGCAAGACUUUGUCUCACAUACUUUGGACAUGUUAUCGGGAGGGACCAGUCCCUGGAGAAGGAGAUUAUGCUUAGUAGAGGAUCAUCAAAAGAGAGGAAGACCCUCAAGGAGAUCCACUGAUACAGUGGCUGUAACAAUGGGCUCAAACAUAACAACAAUUGUGAGCGUGGCGCAGGACCAGGCAAUGUUUCAUUCUGUUGUACAUAGAGUUGUUAUGAGCUGGAACCAACUCGACGGCCCCUUACAACAAGAAGUCAGGAUGACCCUGUUCAUAAGUCAGAUCUUAUUGUUCCUCUGCUCAAAGCCCUCCAGUGGCUUCCCUCCUCUCCAAAGAAUAAAAUUGCAAGUCCAGGAUGUCCGCUGCAUGACCCAACAACUCUCCUGGGGGUUGCUAGCCAACAAGUUUAAGGGGCCAGUUGUUCCACAUUUCUCAGGGUUGUUGGGGCUGCAAAGGGCCUAAUAAGCCCCAUGCUCUGGCCCCUGCUGUCUAUCUGACUACCUCUUCCAUGCUCCCCUUCCCUCGAUCCCUCUACAUCAGCUUCCCUUCUGACCCUUGAAUCUGCCCAGCAUAUGCCAGCCUCAGACCUUUGACCUUCUUGUUUCCUCUGCCUGGGAUGCUGUCAUCCAGAUGUAUUCCUGUCUUGUUCUCUUGUUUCCUCCAGUUCUGUCAAAUGUCACCACAGCAGAGACACAUCCUCUGACCACACUUUUUCUAAAUACAUGCCCACCUUCCUCACUUUCUCCCCUUUUCCUGUCCUCGGAGCAUGGAUCAGCACCUUUCACUCUAUGGACUUAUCUGUUUAUCCUCUCCCAGGCCACACACAUUAGAAGGUGUGCUUCCUGGGAGCAGAUGCCCUGUUCCAUCCUUAGCAUCCAGAACAGUGCCUGGCACUGAAUAGGUGUUCAAUAUAUCUUUGUUGAAUGAAUGAAGUCAUUAAAGCAAAGAGCCAGUGUCCCAGAUAACAUUAAUGAGCCCCUAAACUGACCCUGGAGCCGCCCAGCCCCAGACUUCCUCUUCUGUGUAAUAAUAAACCCACAGCGUUUCACUCUUCCUAUUUGCUGGGUCAGCCCAUCUGCCGCUUGACUGGUGUUUUUCUUCUUUUUACCACAUCUUGUCCAAUUUUUCUUACAAACUCAUUAUUAUUCCUUAAUCUUGCCACUCCUUUUCUUUUCUCUUCCUGCUUCCCGUUCUUUCUUCCCCUUUCCGUCCAGCAUUUUGCUCAUGUGACUGCCACUUUGGGGUGCUAGCUUUGGCAUAUUGGGGGGAGGAGGAAGCGCCGACUUGAGCAACUGAAAAGGACCUCAGACCUUUCCUGACCAUUCAAGUUCCCCUUGAGGUACAGCCAGGGAGGAGCAGCAUUUUCCUGGUUUAGGGCAGAGGAAUAGGGUGUCCCCUGCACGAUCCAGCACUUCUCCUGGGAUUGCCAGGCAAUGAGCUAUACAGACCAGCGGCCCCCAUCCCUCAGGGCAGGGACUGCAGGUGGCCUCCAGGUGCUCUUGGCCUGGGUGGCUGGCAUUCCUGCCCUGGCAUGCAGCUCCCCUUAGCAGCUAGUGCCCCACCUCGGGCAGUGCCCACUUGCAGUGCCAUUAUCAUGGGAGCCCUAUAAAGAGGGAGAGCCAUGGAGGGCAGUGUCCCUCUCUGGAGCACUUUCUAUGAUGUGUCCAACUGGGCCCUGACCAAGCACAUGUCUUUGUGGGAUGCUGAGACACCAGGAAACCCAUUCAACCUUCCAGGCAGUUCAAGCCUCUGUGUUCAAGCCUGCACCAUGUGACUCACUGGGGUUUACCUGAGUCCUUUGCUCCACCAGGAGAACAGGGUGCUAUGUGACUGAAGAGCCAGGUUUGAGCCUCUCUGAGCCGAAGCAGGUCACAGAAAGCGAGAAAGUUGCCAACCGCAGGGGCGUAGGGGAAGGCAGCCAAGGUUGAGAGCAGGGCCAGGGCACUGUGAGGCCUGCUGCUGGCCCUGCUGAACCAGAGUGGACGCCCUAGGCAGAACUCACCUGUCUCACUGUGGCCUGGCCUGGCUGGCUGCCUGGCCCGUGCUCCACAGAGAAAGUAAAAGUAGAAAUCUAGCCCUUAACCUUAGCAGAUCACGUACAUGGCAGCCCACGAGCUUGGUUUCAGCAAGAGCCAAGUCUCAUUUCGUCUCAUCCAGGACAAACCUGGUGUUUUAAGAACUCCCUGACCCCAUGUGUAUGAGUUUCCUGGAGCUGCUGUAACAAAUCACCACAAAUUGGGUGACUGAAAACCACAGAAAUUUAUUUUAUCACAGUUCUAUCUGGGUGUUUUUUUUGUUUUUUUUUAGAGGUCAGAAGUCUGAAUUCAAGGUGUCAGUCAAUAGGGCCAUUCUUUCUCCAAAAACUCUAGGGGGAGAUCUUUCCUUGUCUCUUCCAGCUUCUGGGGGCCCUGGUGUUCCUUGGCUUGUGGUACCAUCACUCUAACCUCUGCUUCUAUCUUCUCAUGGCUGCUGCUCUCUGUGCUUCUUCUGUCUAUAAGGACACCAAUUGUGUUCAAUUAGGGCCCACCCUACUCCAGUAUGAGCUCAUGUUAACUAAUUACAUCUGCAAAGACGCACACUAUUUCUACAUAAGGUUACAUUCAUAGGUACCAGGGUUAGGGCUUCAACAAAUUUUUUUUUUUUUGUGGGGGGAGAGCCACAAAUCGACCCAUAACACCAGGUAUUCCAGUUGGAGACUGGGUUUGGUUGUAAAUAACAGGAACUUGAAAAAUAAUGACUUCAACAAAUCUAGGGUUUAGUCUUUCCAAUGCACAAGUCUAAACUAGAGAGAUGCAGGGCAGUGCAGGCCUAGUGGCUCCCUCAUAAUCUCGAAGGCCCUGGCUCCUCUGUCUUUCUGCUCCACCAUCCUGAAUGUGUGGCCUUGUUCUCAUGCCCCAAGGAUGGCUGCACGCCCUCCAGCAUUUUGUCCACCAUCCAGGAAGCCACAUGGCAACAGAGAUUUCUCAGAAAUCCCACUCAGUGACUUUAAUUUACAUCUCAUUGGGCAGAACGGUGUCACCCCUAACUGCAAAGCAGACCGCGCACACUGCUGCUGCUGCUCAAACAAAGCCACGGUCAUUCUGUUAAUAAGGAAGUGGGUUAGAAGAGAUCACAUACAGGGCAACAAUUUUCAAACUUCAGCGUGUAUCACAAUCACCUGGAGCGCUUGCUAAAACUCAAAGAUUUUGCUCUUCUCUUCCUCUCCCUCCACCCCUUCCAGUUUUCCAAUUGGUGACCAGGGACCAUACUUUGAGAAUCGGCAGCCAGCAGUGCCUCCCACCACAGGCUGUAUCACAAACUUGUGCUAUGCCUCUGUGAAGUAUGCAAGAGUGGUGGGGAGUUUGCCACUGACCAGUGACUAUUUAUGGAGUGGUAGCCAUUGACCUCAGAGACAACCUCAGUGUGGCUAAGGUAUCACCUAGUUUGGCUUUACUCUCCCUGCAACCCUCUCACUUCCAACAGCCCUCCCACCUUCAUCUUUAGCAUACAUGGGACAGGCUUCAGAACCUUCUGGUGUUUUCACAGACUUUCAGCUGAAAGACCACUGACUCCAACAACCUUUCUGACAGGCAGGUUCUUCUGGAGAAGUGCUGUUUACCUGUCACAGGUGUCUGAAGAAUUCAAAGCUAUCCUUUGUUGUAAGCUUCUAAAGACGUGUGCUUCAUGAGUAUCUACAUGGCCUGCAGGAAGAAGAACCCUUGCCCCUGCCAUCCCAGGUGACAGGUGCCCACCUUGUGCUUUUGAUGAUGAUAUUUCUCUUAAUUGAGGUAUAAUUCACGUAUCAUACAAUUCACCCUUUUAACAUGUACAUUUCAAUAUUUUGUAGUAUAUUCACAGAGUUCUGCAACCAUCACCACUAAUUCUGGAACAUUUUCAUCAUCCUAUAAAGAAAUCCCAACCCUUUAACCAUUAUUCCCCAAUGCCCCAUCUCUUUCCCACCCCGGUCCCUGGCAAUCUACUUUCUGUCUCUAGGACAUGCCCAUCCUGGGCAUUUCAUAUAAAAGGAAUCAUACAAUGUGUGGUCUCUUGGGUCUGGCUUUUUUCCCUUAGCAUAAUGCUUUCAAGGUUCAUUCAUGUCGUAACAUGUAUGAGAACUUGAUUGUGUUUUGUGGCUGAAUAAUGUUCAGUUGUAUGGAUAUAUCACAUUUUGUUUACCCAUUCACCUAUCGAUGGAUGUUUGAGGUGCUUCCACUUUUUUUUGGCUUUUACGACUAAUUCUGCUAUGAGCAUUCAUGUACAAGUUUUUGUGUGGACAUAUGUCUUUAUUUCUCUUGGGUAUAUACCUAGGAGUGGAUUGCGGGGUCAUAUAGUAACUCUGUGUUUAACUUAUUAAGGAGCUGCCAAACUGUGUUCCACAGCAGUUGCAACAUUCUACAAUCCUACCAGCAAUGUAUGAGGGUUCCAAUUUCUCUACAUCCUUGACAACACUUGUUAUUUUCUCUUUUUUAUUAGUGGGUGUGAAGUGGUAUAUCAUUGUGGUUUUGAUAGGUGAUGUUAUUUUUAAAAAGUAUGACAGAAGGAGCCCAUGGAGUGUCUCCAAAUAUUUGAAAGCUUGUAAGUUAUAGGAGAGGACUUAUAAAUGACCGUGAAUCAUAGCCUAAUAAUGUAAUUGUUGUUGUGUACGGUCCAGUCAAUUCCGACUCAUAGCAAUCCUGUAGGACAGAGUAGAACAGCCCCACAGGGUUUCCAUGGACAUAAUCUUUAUGGGAACAAAUCGCCAAGUCUUUUCUCCCAUGGAGCUGCUGGUGGGUUCAAACCCCUGACCUUUCAGUUAGUAGCCAAGCACUUAACCAUUGCACCUCCAGGGCUUCUGGCACAACCACAGGGCCCUGCUAGUCAUUAGGAGGCACCAGUCAGGUCGGUGGAGUGAAUCAUUAGAUUUUUAUGUUGAUCUAAAGAAGGUAUGUUUUUUAAAAAGAGAACAAGCCAAGCCAUCUAGAUUCUCAAAUACCCAGGAAGUAUUUCAGCACCUCCUGCGUAUUCUUCAGAGCCCUGGUGGCACAGUGGUUAAGAGUUCAGGCUGUUAACAAAAAGGUCGGCAGUUCAAAUCCACCAGCCAUUCCCUGGGGCAGUUCUACUUUGUCAAAUAGAGUUGCUAUAAGUUGGAAACGACUGGAUGGCAACGGGUUUGGGUUUUUUGGGGGGUGGGGCAUUUGUGUAUUCUUCAUUAUAAUAGUUAUAUCAUUAAGCUCUACUAUGUGCCAGGCUGCUUGCUAAGUGUCAGAGAUACGAUAGCUCCCAAUUUCCCAGCAGUCCUAGGCGGUAAGCACUGUUACUUCAUCAUUUCUUCUUUUCACUUUAGCUACUGUAUGUUCAAGAGCAAAUUUCAGAGUUUCUCCUGACAUCCAUUUUGGUCCUUUCUUUCUUUCUUAUCUUUUUAAUGACCUUUUGCUUUCUUCAUGUGUGAUGUCCUUGAUGUCACUCCACAACUCAUCUGGCUUUAAGCAUUAGUGUUUGGUGCGUCAAAAGCAUUCUUGAGAUGGUUUCUAAAUUCAGGAGGGAUAUAGUCAAGGUUGUAUUUUGGCUCUCACAGACGUGUUGUAAUUUUCUUGAGCUUCAACUUGAACUGGCAUAUGAGCAAUUGAUGGUUUGUUCCGCAUUUGGCCUCUGGUCUUGUUCUGACUGAUGGUACUGACCUUCUCCGUCGUCUCUUUCCACAGAUGUAGUCGAUUUGAUUCCUGUGUAUUCCAUACAGCGAGGUGCGUGUGUAUAGUUGCUGUUUAUGUUGGUAAAAACUGGUAUUUGCAAUGACUAAGUCAUUGGUCUUGCAUAAAUCUAUCCUUGGAUCUCCAGCACCGUUUCUAUCACCAAUGCCAUAUUUUCCAACUACCGAUCUUUUUUGGUUUCCAACUUUUGCAUUCCAAUCACCAAUAAUUAUCAAUGCAUCUUGAUUGCAUAUUUGAUCAAUUUCAGGCUGCAGAAGCUGCUAAAAAUCUUCAGUUUCUUCAUUUUCGGCCUUAGUGUUUAGUGCAUAAAUUUAAAUAGUAGUCAUAUUAAUUGGUCUUCUUUACAGGGUUAUGAAUAUUAUUCUAUCACUGACCAUGUUGUACUUCAGCAUAGAUCUUGAAAUGAAUGUUCUUUUUGACGAUGAACGUGAUGUUGUUCCUGUUGAGUGUGCCAUUCCCAGCAUAGUAGACCAUAUGAUUGUCUGAUUCAAAAUGGCCAAUACCAGUCCAUUUCAGUUUACUAAUGCCUAGGAUAUCUAUCUUUCAGCAUUCCAUUUCAUUUUUUACAACUUCCAAUUUUCCUAGAUUCAUACUUCAUACAUUCCAAAAUCUGAUUAUUAAUAGAUAUUUGUAACUGUUUCUUCUCAUUUUGAGUCAUACUUCAUUAGCAAAUGAAGGCCCCGAAAGCUUGACUCUAUCCACAUCAUUAAAGUCAACUCUACUUUGAGGAGGCAGCUCUUCCCCAGUUGUAUUUUGAGCGACUUUCAACCUGAGAGGCUCAUCUUCCAGCGCAAUAUCAGACAAUGUUCUGCUGCUAUUCAUAAAGUUUUCACUGACCAGUUUUUUUUUUAAGUAGAUUGGCAGAUCCUUCUUCUUAGUCUAUAAGAAAUGAUGAAGUAUGUAGGCUGAACAGAAGAUUUCAAAGGGCAGCUUGAGAAGACAAAAUAAAGUAUUACAAUGAAAUGUGCAAAGAAAGACCUGCAGUUAGAAAACCAAAACGGAAGAACACGCUCAGCAUUUCUCAAACUGAAAGAACUGAAGAAAAAAUUCAAGCCUCAAGCUGCAUCAUUGAACGAUUCUAUGGGCAAAAUACUGUACAACAAAGGAAGCAUCAGAAGACGGAAGGAAUACACAGUCACUGUACCGAAAGAGUUGGUCGAUGUUCGACCGUCUCAGAAGGUAGGAUAUGAUCAAGAACCAAUGGUACUGAAGGAAGAAGUUCAGGUUGCACUGAAGGCACUGGCAAAAAACAAGGCUCCUGGAAUUACUGGAUUACCAAUUGGGAUGUUUCAACAAAGGGACGUGCCGAACACUAAUGACUAAAGCCAGAUGAGCUGUAGAAUGACAUCAAGGACAUCACACAUGGCCAACCUACUGGAAGAAAUCUUUAUUUGUGCCCAUUCCUAAAAAUGUUAUCCAACAGAAUCAUCAAGUUAUUGAACAAUAUCAUUAAUAUCACACACAAGUAAACUUUUGUUGAAGAUCACUCAAAAGCAGUUGCAACAGUAUACCAAAAGAGAACUGUUGGAAAUUCAAGCCAGAUUAAGAAGAGAACGUGAAACAAGGGAUAUCAUUGGUGAUGUCAGAUGGAUCCUGACUGAAAGCAGGGAAUACCAGAAAGAUGUUUGCUGUGUUUUAUUGACUAUGCAAAGGCAUUUGACAGUGUAGAUCAUGAUAAAUUAUGGAUAACAUUGUAAAGAAUGGGAAUUCCAGAACACUUAAUUGUGCUCGUGCGGAACCUGUGCACAGACCAAGAGGCAGUCGGUCAAAUAGAACAAGAGGAUACUACAUGAUUGAAAAUCAAGAAAGGUGUGCAUUAGGGUUGUGUCCUUUCACCAUAAUUAUUUAACCUGUAUGCAGAGCUAAUAAUGUGAGAAAUUGGACUAUAUGAAGAACUUGGCAUCAGGACUGGAGGAAGACUCAUUUACAACCUGCAAUAUGCAGAUGACAUAACCUUGCUUACUGAAAGUGAAGAGGACUUAAAGCACUAACUGAUGAAGAUCAAAGAUUACAACCUUCAGUAUGGAUUACGCCUCAACAUAAAGAAAACAAAAAUCCUCAGAAUUGGACCAGUAAGCAAUAUCAUGAUAAACAGAGAAAAGAUUGAAGUUGUCAAGGAUUUCAUUUUACUUGGAUCCACAAUCAACACCCAUGGAAGUAAAAAAAAAAAAAAUUUUUUUUUUUUCAUGGAAGUAGCAGUUAAGAAAUCAGACAACACAUUGCACUGGGCAAAUCUGCUACAAAAUACCGUUAAAGUGUUGAAUAGCAAAGAAGUCACUUUGAGGACCAAGGGGUGCCUGACCCAAACCAUGUUCUUUUCAGUUGCCUCAUAUGCCUUCAAAAGCUGAACAAUGAAUAAGGAAGAUCAAAGAAGAAUUGGUGCCUUUGAAUUACAGUGUUGCCAAAGAAUAUUGAAUAUACCAUGGACUGCCAGAAGAACGAACAAGCCUGCCUUGGAAGAAGUAGAGCCAGAAUACUCCUUUGAAGCAGGGAUGGCAAGACUUCAUCUCAUGUACUUUGGGCAUGUUAUCAGGAGGGACCAGUCCCUGGGGGAAGGACAUCAUGCUUGGUAAAGUAGCAAAAAAGAGAAAGACACUCAAUGAGAUAGAUUGACACAGUGGCUGCAACAAUGGGCUCAAACAAAGCAACAACUGUGAGGAUGACUCAGGAUAAGGCAGUGUUUUGUUCUGUUGUACAUAGGGUUGUUGUGAACCAGAACCAACUUGAUGGCACCUAACAACAGCAACAACGAGCAUUGUUAUCCCCAUUUUAGAGACAAAGAAACUGAGGCUCACCAGGUUAAAUUACUUGCACAAGGUCACACUGAACAGAUCUGGGAUUUGGACCCAGCUAUACUUGACUCUUAAGCCAGAGUACUUAACUCGUAUAGUCAACUGUUGUGAAAGAUGUGGAAGUAUAGGACAUGAAACUUGGUUUCAAACAAGUGUUAGCUUGGUUGUAGGAGGAAGUCUAAAAUGCAUAAAAUAAUGGAGAAUUACAGCAAAAUCAAAAAACAAAAGAAAACAAAACCAGUUGCUGUCAAGUUGAUUUAGACUCUUGGCAACCGCAUAUGUUGCAAUAGAAGUGUGUUCCAGAAGGCUUUCAAGGCUGUGACCUUUUGGAAGCAGAUUUCUAGACCUUUCUUCCAAGGCACCUCUGGGUGGGUUCAAACCACCAACCUUUGGGUUAGUAGCCCAGUGCUUAACCAUUUGCACCACAAAGGGACUCCUUAAAGAAAAACAGCGCAUACUUAGUUACUAAGGUGUGUGGUGGUACCAGUCUUGGAGCAAGUAGGAGUUGUAUCAGUCAGGUUUGGCUAGAUUACACUGUGGUAACGAACAAACCCAAUGUCUCAGUGGCUUAAAAGAACAAAGGUGUAUUCCUCACUCAUGUCUCAUGUCUACCAGAGGUCAGCAGGGGAGGGGUGAUCUGCUCAUCAUAGUCACUUAGGGAACCAGGCUGGCAGAGUUGCCAUCAUCUCCAACGUUGCCUGUUGCUUUGUGUGAGAGACAGACAGACAGACAGAGAGAAAGACUGGUGCAUCCUGCAUCAAACUGAAAGCUCCUGCCUGGCAGUGACACACCUCAGCUCUGUUCAGUUUCAGUCAUAACGCUAGUGACGUGGUCAUACUUGUCUUCAAGGGGGAGGGAAGUGCAAUCCUACCAUGUGUCAGGAGGAGUUCUGGAAAUACUCGGUGGACUGCAUGAACCACUCCCGCUGAGUUCAUAGAAAGAACCAUGUAGGACUUUGGGGUAGUGAGCACCAGUUCAAGCCAAGGCCCAGAAUACAGUCUUCAUUUUUACACAGAAAAAUUUAGGCCUGCUAGUAAACUGAUUUACGAGCAACCCACUGGCAAGCUCUCUGAAACACAAAAGCAUUUGCCAAUUAUUCUAUCACCACCAAGAGAUGGUGCCCCAUGCGUGGGACAUGGGCCAUCUCAGUUCCACCUGGAGGCAAUAUCAGCCAUUUGCCAUCCAUUGCCUUCCACGGUGUUUCUUUCUUAACGUGAUGCUCUUGUUUCUUGCAGGAAUCCAGAGUUAGGUCUCCUUGAUUGAUUUUUCAUUGUGUGUCUCUCAUCGUAUCAGGGUUGGACAGAGAUCCAGGAAGCCGGGCAGGGAAGAGAGGCUGCUGGACUCACAGGCCGUGGGCUACUGCCUCCAGAUGGGGCUGGCUUGGCAAUUUUCAGCCUGCUCUCCGGGUCGACUAGCCCUUCGUGGGAAAGAUUAGUGGAACAUACACCGCUCUGGGAGUGAAAUACGGAUUGAAAGAAAACAUACACAGGGAUUAAAAUAGAACCUGGCAGUUAUUAUGUAGAUCUGUGGUUUCUUGACUUUCUGAAGACCAUCCUUCUUUCAGGCACCCUGGUGGCGCAGUAGUUAAGAGCUAAGGUUGCUAACCAAAAGGUCAGCAGUUUCAAUCCACCAGCUGCUCCUUGAAAACCCUGUGGGGCAGUUCUACCCUGCCCUAUAGGGUCGCUAUGAGUGGGAUCACUCCAUAGCAACAGGCUUUUUUUUUUUUAAUCGUCUUUUAAUCACUCCAUGGCAACAGGCUUUUUUUUUAAACCGUCUUUUAGAACAUGAAAUUCUCAAGGCCCACUCCCCCUCCAAAAGUUCUGAUACGUUGAGAAGCACCUCUCUUUCUGUGUCCCCACUUGACAAGAAUAUUUUAUUGAAUUUUACUUCCUGUACCUUAGUUAUAAAUUUUUCAACACCCAUGUUCUCCCACAUCAGAAAGUGUGUUACACCCUAGGGAUAGGAGCCCCACUUGAGAAUCUAUGAACCCAGCAAAGACUCAGACAAAGGGCGAGGAGAGACAGCAUAUUGGUUUAGAGAAAAAUUUGGAGCCCAGCAAACAGGUUCAAAUCCAGAUUCUGCUAUUCAAAAAAUGUGUGAACUUGGGCAACUUCCAUAACCUUUCCAGGCCUUAUGUUCUUUGUCUAUAAAAUGGGAACAAGAGGUACAGUACUAAAUGUUCCAUGGGGCGAGGGGGGCCCAGGAAAAACUAGAUGAGACAAUGACCACAGAACAUUUAGCAUCCAGCACAAAAGGAACACUCAGCAAUGACGGACAAACCGCAAGAUGUCGACCAAAAUAGAGUACAAUGGGGUGACCAUAUGGAACUGAGAAUUUUCACAAAGCACUAUUUUUACAUCUUAACUUCUUUGGGCUUUUCUGCUCCCUCUUUUAUAAAAGGCCUCCCACCCACUUGUUUUCUGGAAGGUGAAGAUCAUAGACCAAAAGAGGCUUCCUAUAAGCUCUUCACUGAAGACAGCCAAGUCAUUAUUUCAACUGAGGAAGUCUCAGAAUGACAGAGUGAUAGACCUGUGGGACUGGAAGGGACUUCUGGGAUCCGUCCCCCUUAUCCGAUUGAUGGAGAAAUUCAGACCCAGAGACAUGAAGUGACUUCCUCAGUAGGUCUGUGUGAAUGGCAUUUCUGGAGUUGUGUAGGGCACAGCCACCCUCUGUGCAAACCCGUAGAGGUGAGAGAUGGAAGAAGAGAUACAGGAACUGGAUGGCUUGGUUCCGUCCUUAUAAUCCAACCAUCCUGAGAGGGGAUCUACCCAUUGGCUGCUCUUUGUUUAACUGUUUGAGCCAGUUGGAGUGAGAUGUUCUGUCACUUGCUAUCUUGUUGUAAUUCAUCAAGGACCUCAAAGUGCUAUGAGUAUUUAAAGAGGAAGACUUCAUAACAGAAAAGCCUUCCCUGGGAAGAGGUUACGUCAAAGAAGAGUGUGAAAGGAAGAAUAGCUGACUCGGUAGGGAGCAGGGAAGGGAGAGACAAUUCAGGAAGGAGAAGACCUCCAACACAAGCCAGAAAUAGGAAAGCUGGGGUAAAGGGUGUUUGGGGAAUUCUAUUUAAGAAAGUUUGGCUAGAACAUUGAAUACCUGAAAAGGUAAUGGGAGUUAGGAUGGAAAAAUAUAUGUUCCAACCAGUCUGUGAGGUUUGCUCUUUGUGUUGCUGGUAAUAAGGAGCGGAACAAUCAGAGCUGGGUUUUAGGAUGAAUUCAGUAGGAGAAAAGGGAGACGAUAAUGAAAGGAGAGAAUUGGUUGGGAGGCUAUUGUAAUUGUCUCCAAGUAAGAGCAUCCAUGGUUUCUUGGGUGGCCAACUGUCCUGGUUUCUCAGGACGUGGGACUUUCAGUGCUUAGAAGUUCAGUUUCUGGAGCGUUGAUCAAAACCAUAAAGGAAACGAUUAAUAGAUUUCGGUGAGUUAAAAUAACAUAUAAGGUAAGAAUGAAUGAAAAAAUAGAAAAUAAUCUAAAAAUGUCUAAACUUCUGUGUUUUUCUCCAGAAUAAAGAAAUGAAAAAUUAACCCAUAUCCCUUUGAGACUCAAGCCCUCCAGUGAUGCCUGCCUCCACCUCCAACAUCCAGUGUCCUUGUCACUCCCCAUGUUCACGGUCAUCUCGUGUACCUCAAGGUCUACUCCUGUCCCCAUUUUUUAAAUUUUUAUUGAGUUGACAUUCACGUAACAUAGAAUUCACCACUUCAAAGUAGGCAGUUCAGCGGCAUGUAGUACAUUCACAAUGUCGUGCAACUGUCACCAUUGUCUAGUUUCCUCUGCCUUUCUUGUGGUUGCUCUUCAUUGCCAUUGAGUUGACUCUGACGCACGGCAACCUUACGUGUGCAGAGUAGAACUACUCCAAAGGGUUUUCAAGGCUGUGACCUUUGAGAAGCAAAUCAUCAGGCCUAUCUUCCAAAAUGCCUCUGGGUGGGCUCCAGCUGCCAACCUUUCAGCUAGUGCAAGAGGUUAAGUGCUCAGCUAAUCACUGAAAGUUUGGUGGUUCAAAUCCACCCAGAGGUACCUCGGAAGAUCAGCCUGGUGACCUGCUUCUGAAAGGUCACAGCCUUGAAAACCCUAUAGAAUAAUAUUUUCCAGUGCUGAAAUAUUUGCCUCUUGAAUGGUCUCGAAUGGAUUAUUAACAAUUCCAAACAGAAAUUUUACGUUAGUUUAACAAUAAACCUAGGAUUAAAGGAAAUAUAAAUUAAAGAAAAGAAAAACUAAACAAAGAUCCACAAUAGCAAUGAGCACCAAUUUAGUAAAAUAAAGGACGGGACAGUGUAUGACUCCUUUAGCGGUAGCUCCUUCCCAGGUUUUUCUCCCCACACUGAGAUCAGGGCUGCGGAAGAGGGUUUCAUGUCCAAGGCAAACUCCUUCUUUGGUCUAACCCAGGUUUCACAAAGAGCAGCUGCUGCUAAGGAGUUCCUGGCCACGUGACAGAAAUCAUAAGUAGACGCUGCUAAGAGGUUUUUUCCCAAAGGGGAGAGUAUGCCAAACAUGAGUGGCAGAGAGCGCCCAGGGGGAAGAUCGUAUGCUCAUGAAGAAGCAAAGACAGACAAGCACCAUGGUCACAGUUCUUGAGUGUUUUGAAACCCCUUGGAACUGACGUAAAUCUUUCUCACGAGCACGGUUCUACUCUGACGCAAAUCAAGUUGCCAUGAUUUGGGGUUGACUCUAUGGCAACUGGAUGAAUGGAUAGAAGCAGCAAACGGUUAGAAAGUUAGAAGAAGCCAUUCCCUGCAAAGAGCAAAGUCACUAGCCAGCCCUGUGGUCUGGGUGAGCGGCCUGGCCUUUCCACGCCUCAGUUUCUCCGCCUGUCAAUGGGAAAGCUAACCCCCACCUCAGAGGGUUGGUGAGAUGCUAAAAAUUGCAAAGAGCCCUGAAGAUGUACUGAAAGAGCAAAAUCAUUUUACAAACUUAAGGUAUGACAUGAAAAUUCACAGCAUCUGAAUACCUAUCAGAAAUCAGAACUAUUAAAAAGAAAAGGCCAAAAUAGAUGUCAGAAGAGGCUCUGAAACUUGCUCUUAAAUGUAGUAUAGCUAAAGUGAUAUUAAGUCUAUAUUAGGAUUCUUGGUGCUUUUUGAACACUAUCCCACCAACCAAAAAGAUUAUGUUAAGCUUUACUUUCUGCCCACUCUGUUAUGAAAAGAAACAGGUAUGUCUUGUUUUCCAAUUAAACAAACCCUUGUCCCUCUGGAGAUCCAGGGUCAUCCCUCCCCUCCCUCCUUGUAUGUUUAAGGAGAUUAGAAUCUAACUGAGGAGACAAGGACUAAGUUGUGAUUGGUCUGAAUGUCUGACUAGAAAUCAUCAGUCCUACCUGGGUCCUUGGCCCCUUGCUCUCCCCUCCCCACCUCCAGGCCCUGCUGACCCAAGAGAGAUAAGGUGACUCCCAGCCCGGUGACUAUGACCAGAUCAGACUUUGUACCCAUCUCUAGCAUCUGCCCAGUUCCAGCAUCCUGUAUCUCAGAGUCAGUGAGUGAAUCCCUAUCCCAUCCUGGUUGGUGGGUCUCAGCCAUCACAACCUGCCCAGAAUCUCCAGCUGCUUAGGCUGGGGACCUACCUUGCCCUUUCCAAACACUGUUUAUCUCUCCCCCCAUUACCCCACCAUGGGAGUGGAGUCUUCUGGGCGCUGGAUUCUGGCCUCAUGUCUGGGAUGCUAUCCUCUGUGAGCAGACACGGCCUGCAAGGACCUCUGGAUAAGGCAUGCUUGCUUAGCCUUGACACUGUCGACAUCAUGGGCUGGGUAAUCCUUUGUGGUGGGAGCUGUCUUAUAAGAUGUUUAGUAGCAUCCGUGGC
Loxodonta africana (African savanna elephant) is the source of this 31777-nucleotide long non-coding RNA. RefSeq lists it as uncharacterized. The record is from RefSeq and is a predicted model, not a curated record. Lineage: Eukaryota; Metazoa; Chordata; Mammalia; Proboscidea; Elephantidae. The transcript has 3 exons.